Molecule: non-coding RNA, 115 nt
Organism: Hordeum vulgare subsp. vulgare (domesticated barley)
Lineage: Eukaryota; Viridiplantae; Streptophyta; Magnoliopsida; Poales; Poaceae
Source: Rfam
GUAGUACUCCCUCUGUCCGGAAUUACUUGUCGUAAAAAUGGAUGUAUCCAGAACUAAAAUGCAUCUAGACACAUUCAUUCCUUGGACAAGUAUUUUCGAACGGAGGGAGUACAAU